CUAACACAUGCAAGUCGAACGGUAACAGGAAGAAGCUUGCUUCUUUGCUGACGAGUGGCGGACGGGUGAGUAAUGUCUGGGAAACUGCCUGAUGGAGGGGGAUAACUACUGGAAACGGUAGCUAAUACCGCAUAACGUCGCAAGACCAAAAAGGGGGACCUUCGGGCCUCUUGCCAUCGGAUGUGCCCAGAUGGGAUUAGCUAGUAGGUGGGGUAACGGCUCACCUAGGCGACGAUCCCUAGCUGGUCUGAGAGGAUGACCAGCCACACUGGAACUGAGACACGGUCCAGACUCCUACGGGAGGCAGCAGUGGGGAAUAUUGCACAAUGGGCGCAAGCCUGAUGCAGCCAUGCCGCGUGUAUGAAGAAGGCCUUCGGGUUGUAAAGUACUUUCAGCGGGGAGGAAGGGAGUAAAGUUAAUACCUUUGCUCAUUGACGUUACCCGCAGAAGAAGCACCGGCUAACUCCGUGCCAGCAGCCGCGGGUAAUACGGAGGGUGCAGGCGUUAAUCGGAAUUACUGGGCGUAAA
RNAcentral lists this ribosomal RNA (528 nucleotides) under uncultured Pseudomonadota bacterium. Its description in RNAcentral is "bacterial SSU rRNA". It matches the Rfam family "Bacterial small subunit ribosomal RNA", at positions 48 to 564 of the family's 1533-position model. The record is from RNAcentral. Lineage: Bacteria; Pseudomonadati; Pseudomonadota.